Molecule: long non-coding RNA, 217 nt
Organism: Xenia sp. Carnegie-2017
Lineage: Eukaryota; Metazoa; Cnidaria; Anthozoa; Malacalcyonacea; Xeniidae
Exons: 3
Source: RefSeq, a predicted model, not a curated record
GAAGAUCAAGGAGUAAAGAUGACUGGAAGAUGUUAUUGACCAGAGUUAUUUAAUUUGAUCGUGGUCAAAUUCUAUGGAUGAAGACAAUGGAUUCACAAAGGAUGCCUUGAUUGCUUGGAAGUUAAAGUUCAUGAUCCAAAGAAAGAUGGCAAGAAGGCCCAUUUCAAAUGUCAUAUUUUAGAUGCACCAAAUGCAUCUACAACAAAAGAAAAUGAGG